This 3881-nucleotide long non-coding RNA is filed under the name Citrus maxima (pomelo). RNAcentral describes it as "long non-coding RNA (CMAX_LNC002547)". Lineage: Eukaryota; Viridiplantae; Streptophyta; Magnoliopsida; Sapindales; Rutaceae. The record is from RNAcentral.
AGCAGACCUUAUGAGUGAGUGUGCCACCUAAGCUGCCCUCAUUCAAUUGCCCUCUUUGCCUUUAUAAUGAGACUCCCGCAACAAUAGUUCACAUGUACUAAGAAGAACAAUUCAUAAUAGUAAUCAAAUAAUAAUAAUAAUAAUCUUAUAGAGAGAUGGCAAAGUGGUGUGUCACUGUCAUGCUUGUUCUUGCUGUAGUAGCGGUUCACACUAGUGCAAGAAACACGCCUAGUGAUCAUGAUGAUCAAGUGGUUCAUAACGCUGCCAAAAAUGCACCCUCUGGUGCUGGCCUUGAUGAUCAAAAGAACUUUCUAACAUACUGUGGUGUCGGUGGCUUCUCCGCCAUUGGUUCUAAUGGGCUUCCGCUUGGUGGAGUUGGAGGUCUUGCUGGCGUUACUGGCCUCGGUGGUGCUGGUGGGCUUGGAGGAAUUGGUGGAGUCGGUGGUCUCGGUGGUUCAAGUGGGCUUGGUGGAGUUGGUGGCGUGGUUGGCGGCGUUGGCGGUGGUGCUGGUGGCGGCGUUGGUGGUGGUUCUGCCGGUGGAGUUGGCAUUGGCACUGGAGUGCUUCCUUUCCCUUGAAAUAGUUGGAGCCUUAGAAGACAUUAGGGCUUCUUUACUUGCUUUUAAUUAAUCAAGGUUUUUCCUGUUUGAGGGUUUCCCGUGCACGUUAUUAAGAAAGUUUAGUUUUAAUGUCAUGUUCGUGUGAUAGUUCGUUUACUUCGGCUUCAGUUACUGUUUGCUUUUGAUUUUUAGCUUUGAGAGCUUCUGGUAUGUUAUCGUAAUGUAAUUCUCUACUUCAGAGAUAUUCGACGUAAAUAAUUUAAUCGCGUGUUUUAUCUUCUUCUUCUGUCUUUUAACUGGAGAUGACUGAUGUUAUAGAACCUUAGCUAAAGCAACUAAAGUUUACAUAUGAAGUUAUCGAAGCUCAUGCAUUAUGUUACACUAAGCAAAGUAAGGUCAUUAAUUUGUCGGGCCACAGCCUUAAACUUGACUAUAUGUCGUGGAAAUGUUUUGGGAUUCAGGAGCACCUGUAUUUUCAUUCAUUAAUUGCCAUGUAUAUAAUUCAACCAACCAUAAUAAUAAAUAUUAAGCAAUGCUCCAGGAGUAUUAAAAAAUCUUAAUUCUUUAGGAACACUAAAUACCUUCUUGUAUAUUAGUUGGUGUUGAAUAAAAUGGCAUUGAAGAAAGUUUUCAAAAACAUAAUCCGCACUUGUCAAAGGGAUAAUCUGCACUUGUCAAAGACACGAUCCGCGCCGAACGGAUUGACAUAUUUCCUUCCGUAUUUACAUAUGUAAUCUUUGAAAAAAUGUAGCAUCUGCAUCUAUAAAUAACUCUCAGUGUAUAAUGUUUUAUUCAAGAAAUGAAAACACGUUUCUUCAAUUGGAUGAUCGGUGAAUCAAUAACUGAAUAUCAAAAUUGAUAAUACGUUAUCAAUAAGCAUGUAUUUUAAUGAUAAUUUAUAUAUUAGAAAAAUGAUCCUAUAGCUGAAAGACACUACUAUACAUAGAGGAAAAAAUAAAACUGGUGGAGAAUUUAUGUGUCGUGUUACUAAACUUUUCUCAGUUGUAAAUGUUCUAUUAUUUCCUAUAGUUUAAGUCAACGAUUCAAUUAGUGUUGACCAAUAUUUUCUCCAAACGAUUUUCUCAAUUUAGGUGUAAAGAGUUGGGAAUGGUGGAGUGUAAUAUUUGGGGUGGACUUAGAAUGUGCAGGUAUCCGAUCCCAAAUUAAACUUGUUAGGUAGAGAUUGAAUGUAGGUCGACAUUGAAUUUAGCAGCUGACUUCCAUUGACCAACCAAUAUUUAAUGCAACUCAACAGUAAAUUAAAAUAUUGAAUGGAAACUUUAUAUUUAAUAACCACCAAUCAGAUUUAACAAAACAAUCUAAUUCUUUAAUAAUCAACUUACCCUAUAUAAAACCAUUAACUGCUUCAAAUUUUGCCAUGAGUAAUGCUACUUGCAUAUAAAAUUGUACAAAUUUAUUAAUUCAUUUUUAUUUAUAAUUUUGUGUGCAAAUAGUGUUUAGCUUUUUCCAAACUCUUGAAUUACGAUGGUCCCAAAGGAUUGGACAGAUUUUACCAUUAAAUUAAUGUGUCAGUACAUGUUAACUAAAAGUCUUUAGUUAGAGAAAACUAGAUUGACAAAGUGAGUGAGUAAAGUAACCAAAACACGCAAAUUUAGUUGAGAUAAGAAUUUUUUUUCUUUUAGAUUAGAUAAGCAAAUUAAUUAGCAGAAUAAAAAGUAUAAUGACAGUAGAAAAUGUUUGAUAUAGAAGUCCAAUACCAAGAUGAAAAAAAAAAGAAAUAUUUCUUACAAAUUAAUUUGAUGUUUAGAUUUUUUUUUAAUAAAAAAAAAUUGAUGUUUAGAGUUGAGCACGUGCUACUACGUACUAUGAGUUAUGGACUACAGCUCAGUGAAAAGGCUCGAUGACUUUUUACUUAAUUCUCCGCAACGCAAGAACAUUUAAUUUUACUUUUUCACAGCUUAAUUAGGAUUUGCAUUUCCUCUCAAAACUCAAAAGGUAAGGUUCCUUGUCACACACAGUUUAAAAUUUUUCAUGUCAUUGGAAAUGGUCCAGGAAAUUAAUAAUGCCCAGAAUUGAGUCAAUCACUUCACAUCGGCCCUUUUCUUCCAACCAAAUGUAAUUACUUGAUUGGUUGGGCAAAUGUUUCUCUGCAUAUCACAUGCCCGAACGCCACAUCCCUAAUCAGCAUUUCAUUUGUCACCACCAUAUCUGGCAUGCAUGUUUAUUUCUGCAUUUGCCACCCUGGCCAUCGCAGUAACUUUCUUUCAGCUGGUACCCCAAGCGUUUAAACCAUUACGAUGACUCCUAUAACAAUUUUACUCUAAGCACAAAUCCUUGAAAAUAUAUAUUUCAAACAGCAGACCUUAUGAGCGAGUGUGCCAGCUAAGUUGCCCGCAUUCAAUUCUAUUUACUACCCACAACUACCCCCCCAAUGCCCUCUUAGCCUUUAUAAGGAGACUCCCGCAACAAUAGUUCACAUGUACUAAGAAGAAAAAUUCAUAAUAGUAAUCAAAUAAUAAUAAUCUUUGAGAGAGAUGGCAAAGUGGUGUGCCAAUGUCAUGCUUGUUCUUGCUGUAGCAGCGGUUCACACUAGUGCAAGAAAUACGCCUAGUGAUCAUGAUGAUCAAGUGGUUCAUAACACUGCCAAAAGUGCGCCCACUGAUGCUGGCCUUGAUGAUCAAAAGAACUUUCUAACAUACGGUGGUGUUGGUGGCUUCUCCGGCAUUGGUUCUAAUGGGCUUCCGUUUGGUGGAGUUGGAGGUCUUGGUGGGAUUACUGGCCUCGGUGGUGCUGGUGGGCUUGGAGGAAUUGGUGGAGUCGGUGGCCUCGGUGGUGCUAGUGGGCUCGGUGGUUCAAGUGGGCUUGGUGGAGUUGGUGGCGUGGGUGGCGGCGUUGGCGGUGGUGGCGGCGUUGGAGGUGGUGCUGGUGGCGGCGUUGGUGGUGGUUCUGCCGGUGGAGUUGGCAUUGGCACUGGAGUGCUUCCUUUCCCUUGAAAUAGUUGGAGCCUUAGAAGACAUUAGGGCUUCUUUACUUGCUUUUAAUUAAUCAAGGUUUUUCCUGUUUGAGGGUUUCCCGUGCACGUUAUUCCCGUGCGCGUUAUUAAGAAAGUUUAGUUUUAAUGCCAUGUUCGUGUGAUAGUUCGUUUACUUUGGUUUCAGUUACUGUUUGCUUUUGAGUUUUAGUUUUGAGAGCUUUUGGUAUGUUAUUGUAAUGUAAUUCUCUACUUCAGAGAUAUUCGACGUAAAUAAUUAAAUCGCGUGUUUUAUCUUCUUCUUCUUCUGUCUUUUAAAUGGAGAUGACUGAUGUUAUAGAACUUUAACGAAAGCAACUAAAGUUUACAUAUGAAGUUAUCGAAGCUCA